AUUGAACGCUGGCGGCAGGCCUAACACAUGCAAGUCGAACGGUAACAGGAAGCAGCUUGCUGCUUCGCUGACGAGUGGCGGACGGGUGAGUAAUGUCUGGGAAACUGCCUGAUGGAGGGGGAUAACUACUGGAAACGGUAGCUAAUACCGCAUAACGUCGCAAGACCAAAGAGGGGGACCUUAGGGCCUCUUGCCAUCGGAUGUGCCCAGAUGGGAUUAGCUAGUAGGUGGGGUAACGGCUCACCUAGGCGACGAUCCCUAGCUGGUCUGAGAGCAUGACCAGCCACACUGGAACUGAGACACGGUCCAGACUCCUACGGGAGGCAGCAGUGGGGAAUAUUGCACAAUGGGCGCAAGCCUGAUGCAGCCAUGCCGCGUGUAUGAAGAAGGCCUUCGGGUUGUAAAGUACUUUCAGCGGGGAGGAAGGGAGUAAAGUUAAUACCUUUGCUCAUUGACGUUACCCGCAGAAGAAGCACCGGCUAACUCCGUG
This 490-nucleotide ribosomal RNA is filed under the name uncultured bacterium. RNAcentral's name for it is "partial 16S ribosomal RNA". It matches the Rfam family "Bacterial small subunit ribosomal RNA", at positions 30 to 507 of the family's 1533-position model. The record is from RNAcentral.